UACGUAGGGUCCAAGCGUUGUCCGGAAUUAUUGGGCGUAAAGGGCUCGUAGGCGGUUUGUCGCGUCGGGAGUGAAAACCAUGAGCUUAACUCAUGGCUUGCUUUCGAUACGGGCAGACUAGAGGCAUGCAGGGGAGAACGGAAUUCCUGGUGUAGCGGUGAAAUGCGCAGAUAUCAGGAGGAACACCAAUGGCGAAGGCAGCUCACUGGGACGGUAUUGACGCUGAGACGCGAAAGCGUGGGGAGCAAACAGG
RNAcentral lists this ribosomal RNA (253 nucleotides) under uncultured bacterium. RNAcentral describes it as "partial 16S ribosomal RNA". It matches the Rfam family "Bacterial small subunit ribosomal RNA", at positions 524 to 776 of the family's 1533-position model. The record is from RNAcentral.